CAACGGGCUUUGUCCAAUGAAACACUUAUCGGACAUCAAGGGUUCAGAUCAGUGUUCACUGGACAAAGAUCGUUA
This 75-nucleotide microRNA precursor is filed under the name Nicotiana tabacum (common tobacco). RNAcentral describes it as "MIR6146 microRNA precursor family". It matches the Rfam family "MIR6146 microRNA precursor family". Lineage: Eukaryota; Viridiplantae; Streptophyta; Magnoliopsida; Solanales; Solanaceae. The record is from Rfam by way of RNAcentral.